Molecule: ribosomal RNA, 1248 nt
Filed under: Triticum aestivum (bread wheat)
Lineage: Eukaryota; Viridiplantae; Streptophyta; Magnoliopsida; Poales; Poaceae
Description: partial small subunit ribosomal RNA
Source: RNAcentral
AUGGAUGCUAUCAUAGCUCUCCUAGAGAAGGAGGCGAAUAACGAGAACAAGGGACUGCCUAAAGGCGAGCAAAAGCCGACCAAGGUUAAUGGAAGGGUGUACACGGCAGCAGGUGGUGCAUUUUUGGUACGCCUGCUGCUGGAUGAUCCUAAGAAGGAGGUUGUUACCCUUCUGUAUGGUCUGAAGGAUCUUUACUUAAAAGGAUGGAACGUGGGAGCCAUUUGGUACCUAAUGAAAGAGCUUGAUGUGGCUUUACCGCCAAGUACACAGGUGGCUUUCAAAACAAAGACCAUCACUUCAAGAAAAGGAAGGAGACACACUGUCAAAGACGGAAUCCAUUUCCUCAGCUGGUCCGGCAGCUACCUCUCUUUAAGUGGAGGCAAGUUUCAGCCAUUCUUCUAUAAUGCUUUUGGAAAAGCCAAUGACAAGCUUCGUGAUGCUGGGAAUCUGGUGGCAGACGACCAAGAUUCCGAGCUCCAACCUUCUGUGGCGCUGUAUGCCAUUAAAUCUGAGUGUGUUCGGUUCCCGGAGAUCGAGUCCUCAGUGAUUGCUAAUACAACCGACCCUCUGAACAUCAUUGAAGCGCCACUCGACAAACAUCUCAUAAUAAGGAUGGAUCAGUGGGGUACUGGAUCAGUAGCUUGCUAUGGUGCAAACCCACCAGAAUGGGUUAGGGUUAUCAAGAGAGACCUGACAUCACACUUACGAUUGAAGGUUGAGCCUCUAUAUCGAAAAAAGAAGAACCAAGCUAUCGUGCAGGAGGUGGAGGAGCCAGUGGCGCUCGUGCAGGAGGUGGAGGAGCCAGUGGCGCUCCGGGAGACCAUCCAAGGAGAAGGCAUCUGUCUGAUGGAGGGCUUGAAGGGCCGGAAUCGCUUUGUUGAAAGCUUUGUGCCAGACAAGUCUUUUGCUGUGAGAGUCAAAGUAAUAAGGCUGCCGGACACUUUGAGUGAGACUUUGGAGGAGCAUGAAGUGGUUGGAGAAGCAAGUCUGUCAGACUGUGAGGUUGCAACCAAGAAGAGGAGACAGAUGCUUUGUGCCGUUGGGAGGGAAGUGCAAGCUGCUUCCAAGCUGAUGAGAAGAAAGCUGCUGAGGUACCGCAAGACCUUGCCUGGCUUGCUUUGGCAAGUGCAAGCUGUUUUCAAUCAGGCGAUGAGAAGGAAGCUGCUGGGUUACCGCAAAACUUUUGAGUGGCUACAUGCAGCACAUGUGUGCAUUUGGUGGCCCGAAUGUGCUGCUUGCUUCAAGUAG